This 497-nucleotide ribosomal RNA is filed under the name uncultured bacterium. RNAcentral describes it as "partial 16S ribosomal RNA". It matches the Rfam family "Bacterial small subunit ribosomal RNA", at positions 28 to 507 of the family's 1533-position model. The record is from RNAcentral.
GAUGAACGCUGGCGGCGUGCCUAAUACAUGCAAGUCGAGCGAACGGACGAGAAGCUUGCUUCUCUGAUGUUAGCGGCGGACGGGUGAGUAACACGUGGAUAACCUACCUAUAAGACUGGGAUAACUUCGGGAAACCGGAGCUAAUACCGGAUAAUAUUUUGAACCGCAUGGUUCAAAAGUGAAAGACGGUCUUGCUGUCACUUAUAGAUGGAUCCGCGCUGCAUUAGCUAGUUGGUAAGGUAACGGCUUACCAAGGCAACGAUGCAUAGCCGACCUGAGAGGGUGAUCGGCCACACUGGACCGGGGACACGGUCCAGACUCCUACGGGAGGCAGCAGUAGGGAAUCUUCCGCAAUGGGCGAAAGCCUGACGGAGCAACGCCGCGUGAGUGAUGAAGGUCUUCGGAUCGUAAAGCUCUGUUUUUAGGGAAGAACAGAUGUGGAAUUAACUGUGGACAUCUUGACGGUACCUAAUCAGAAAGCCACGGCUAACUACGUG